GGGGAAUGGUAUAAUGGCAAUGGAAAUGCACCACUCAGAUCUCCUGCUGUGGGAAGCAAUUGACUGACAGUACCAGGUGCUGCUCAUCUGAACCCAUCACCAAAUUCAUGUAGAGGCCAGGCUUCCGAUGGCUUCAUCCAGCCCAGGACUGAGCACAGUAAGGCUAUAAAGACAGGCUCAUUCUUCAGGAUACAGGGCUCCUCUAACAGGAUGACAAGAUUUCUUUUGAGAUGAAGGACAUUUAAAGGUGUCAUCAAUACUCAACAGUGGGAAAUAUUUUAAGAACAACCACCAACACCACUACCCUGGAGACACUUUUCUAUCAUCCUACAUGGGCCACCACAAAAAUAAAUCAAACAAGUAAAAGAAAGAAAAAUAAAGACACAGACCAAUUAAGAAGACUGGUUUAUUUUUUAGGAGAAUUCACACGGAAGCUUGAUUUUUCCAUGAACAAAUCAAUCAACCAAAUGUGUUGGAGACAUUGUCAUGUUCACCACACAGACCGUAAAUGACAACCCCAAGGAUAUUGGAAGAGCCACGUGAAAUCUUUGAGGAGCUUUGAUUUGCAAUACGCCAGCUUGCAUCUUGUCCUUGACAAUACAGUAAAAAAUAAGCAAUUGAUGUUAUAGAUUACAUUUCAUGGUAUGUCAUCUCAUUUUUAUCUAGCCUCAUGCAUUUAACUUUUUGUUAAGUUACUCAUCAAUUGGAAGUACACUACCUAGCAUCCAGAAUAGUGUUUUGCACUCAAUAAAUAUUUGCUAACCGCUCCACGUCACAAGAUGCCAUGGCAUUACCAGGUUCUCUUUACAGUAAAAUUAAAUUCUUUACCAACUAUUUUCAGAAGAAAUUAUUUGUAAGAUUUUUCUCUUUUAGUGUUUGUAGUGGAUGUCUUGAUGCACAGCCUUAAUGAAGCACUCAUUCCUCCAGGUGCUGGGAGUGCUGGCUGCUGAUGUGCAUACAGCUGAGGACUUCCUAGGACUUACCCUCAGCCAAAAGAAGCUGAGACAGAAGCUGGCAUCCAAUGGUGGUUGAUUUAGAAAUACAAAGUUACCUUAAUCUGGAACAUUUUUGAGGGGUCAUCGUAACAGCUGUGUUCUCUGUGGGAGGGACUGAGAUCUUUGUUUCAACUGCACGCUAGUUCAACUUCUCCCUCUGCUCACUCCUGCUUUCUUCACUCCCUCUCAGAUGCUGUUUCCCUGAGCAUGCCCCAGACAGCUUCCUGUAUGCAAAUGUCCAUCCCAGAGUCUGUUCUCCUGGGAACCUGAUCUACAGCAGUUGGUGCCAGGAAUGCACUAUGAAAGAAGAAUCUAAAAUGGGAAAUUUGGAACCUAAUAACCACUGGCCUAAUGACAAAAUGCACCUUCACUGGUAAUCAGCGGAGUAUAGAUAGCACCUGGUGUGCCACAGCCGAGCGGUAGCUGAAACUCUCCAGUGGUGAACUGGGAUGAGCUACUGAAAUGGUUCUCAAUGGUGUGUUAUUACCUCUUGCUCAAUCCCUAGGAUAUUUGACAAAGUUGGGAGAUAAUUUUGCUAGUUAUGACCGGGGGUAGGGUAGGAGGAGGGAGUGGUGCUUUUGUCAUCUAGUGGAUGAUGUUAAAUAUUCUACAAUGCAGCCCCUCUCCCCCAACAAAGAAUUAUCCUGUCCAAAAUGUCAAUAAUGUCAAGGAUGAAAAACCAUGCAUUUGCUGGCAAAAUAUUUCAGGUGUUUGAGAGGUCGGGGGAUAUUAGUAAGUAUAAGAACAAUAGACCGAGAUGUUACUUACUGCGAAAGUUUGAGGAUGACUAAUCAUCAAUUUAAGGCAAAGUGUGAGAGUCAAGAACCCCUUGGCAGCAUAUAAAGAAAGUCACAUCUCCUGCAGUAAACCUUGGCAUCAGGCCCAGGGCUUAAUUAUAAGGUAGUUGAACUCCAGAGUAGUUUGAAUUCUCAACCUAAACAAGUCUGCUCUGUCAAUUUUAGAGCCAAGAUCAGGAGAAGUGGAACCUCAGGCUUGGGAUGUGACAUUUGGGUUGACUCACUUGAAAGCCUUGAAGCCCAGAUUCCCCCACCUCUCUUGGCCUGCAUAUGACCUCUCUUAUGGCACUCUGCCUGCUUUCCCCACUCACUCGAAGAUGAUACAGAACACUGCCUUAUAAGACAACAUGUGCUCCCCUUAGGAUUUACUCCUCCCUCCCUUCCUGACAACCAGAUCAAUGACUAAAAUUGAGUAAUGACAAAACCCAGCCAAUAAAGUACUGAGUUUGCUAGAGGAGAAAAGGGACUACAUGUGGAAGAAGUUGCAGUACCUAGACAACUUGAACAGAAUUGUAUAUGUGGGACUUGAUCCUGAUGAUGCUGGAUCAAGGGGGACAGACUAUAAAUUUGGAUAAGUGAGAGAUAUUAAUAUCAAUGUACUCUUCUGUAACACAGGAUAUAAUAUUUGAAAAGGCCCUUAGGAGAUGGUGCUAAUCCACUGCUAGGCUGGCUCUAGGAAGCUUGGAAAAUGGAGACUGUCAUUAAGUGAAGCAGAAAUGCCAGAAUUGCCAUAGUAGGUGGUGGAUGAAGGGAUCAAAAGGCCCAGAGAAGUGGGAGGGCCACAGUGGAUAUGUUCCACUCUACGAGGCUACUGUUAUUGUAGGAUUCUACUGCCCCCAGUGCUAUCAGGGAGCCCAGGUCUGUAACAACUUCUCCUAUCAUCAGUCCUGGCCUAGAUAGGACUACCACCACUGAUAGAUUCUCUGCAAUGCUGGUGCCCCUCCUACCUUAUUGCUUAACAAACAGUGUCUUCCGGGCUGGUGGAUUUUCUGAAUUUAAGUGUCAGCUCGAAGCCCAUGUUCAUUCUUCUACAUCGAACUGCUUCUUAAAUAACAACACCAACAACAAAAUAAUAAGAAACCAGAUAAAACAAACAAACAAAAAACCUCAGCAAGUUCCUCAUCCUAUGCCAUCAUCCUAUAACCCUGAGGCAGUCAUGCCACUUAGAAGACCGGAAAACCCAUCGCGAGUUGACCCAGGCUGCCUUUUCAUUGUCGUAUCAUCGGAGAAACCUGCUCCUGUACUUUCUCUCUUGAGGGUGAAAAAAAAAUCUCCCCUUGUCUUCACAUUCUUUCACAGCUACUUCUAUUUGUCUAUGCCCAUAUUCCUGGGUGCUCUCCUGGCCUACUCUGCCUAACUUUUAAGAUUAGAGGAGAGAAAGCAUUUCAAGACAUUAAUCUCCUAUACAUUUCAAGAUGUUAAUCUCUAGAAAUUUCAUAUUAGGAAAUAUCUUUAAUCCCAGUCUACUGAUAGAAUCUACUGUAAGUUGAACUUUGGUAAACUUUAUAAAAAGGUUUCAGCACUAUAGCUGGCUUUUCAUUGAGAAAUACUUACUCAUACUUUAACUUUCACUGUCUUUGUAAGGUUUUGAAUUCCAGUUUUGUACUUUCAUUAUAGAUCUCCCUAUCUCUAUGGUUUUCUAAAGGAGUUUCUUACAGUUUUUAGAAAAUGUUUUUAUUUCAUAUGGCUUUAUUGAAAUUUGGGAUGGCAUCUCCUGGCAAGGCCACCUAGCACCCACUUCCAUUUUUCUCUGAAGCCAGCCAAAAAUGAAUAGAAUUCACACAUUUCACUCAAGUAAACAUAUUUCGGCCAGAAAAUAUUUUGCAUGUUGGCUUACCAUUAGAUUUAGGUGUAAGAUGUGUUUUAUCUGAUUUCAUAUUCCUUUCAGUAGAGCUUCACAGCUUUCUGAAACAAAAUGCUCUGAAUCUUGAUGUUGAGCUCUGGUCGAGAGAUUCUAUGCAGCAAAGCAGAAGGAAACCACAUGCUUGCUACAUCUCGUUGAAUGGAAUAUAUUUCAUUACUUUGUACAUUAUGUUCUCCAGAUGAGAGGGAAAAGCUAUAAGAACAUUCAAAUAUUCAAUAAAACUGGGGAGAGCGAGUAACUCAUCAAUGUGUCCCCAACAAUACUGCCCCACCAAAUAAAGUCCAAAAAGUAGAUGAAAACAAGAAAAUAUUAUGAAAUACUACAUUCUGUGGAAAUGAGCUGAAAAGGAAAAAUGACUAUUUGAAUAUAUAACACAAUGAAACAAUAAGAUUGUGAACCAAGCUAUAUUGAGAGGAUAUUUGAAAGCC
Long non-coding RNA from Equus caballus (horse), 4084 nucleotides. NCBI's taxonomy places the organism in Eukaryota, Metazoa, Chordata, Mammalia, Perissodactyla, Equidae. The record is from Ensembl.